GAUGAAGAACGCAGCGAAAUGCGAUAAGUAGUGUGAAUUGCAGAAUUCAGUGAAUCAUCGAAUCUUUGAACGCACAUUGCGCCCCUUGGUAUCCCGAGGGGCAUGCCUGUUCGAGCGUCAUUUCACCACUCAAGCCUGGCUUGGUGUUGGGCGACGUCCCCUUUAGGGACGCGCCUCGAAACGCUCGGCGGCGUGGCACCGGCUUUAAGCGUAGCAGAAUCUUUCGCUUUGGAAGUCGGGGCCCCGCCUGCCGGAAUACCUACUCGUAAGGUUGACCUCGGAUCAGGCAGGGAUACCCGCUGAACUUAAGCAUAUCAAUAAGCGGACGA
This 329-nucleotide unclassified non-coding RNA is filed under the name soil metagenome. RNAcentral's name for it is "partial contains 5.8S ribosomal RNA, internal transcribed spacer 2, and large subunit ribosomal RNA". The stretch from base 1 to 120 matches the Rfam family "5.8S ribosomal RNA", at positions 35 to 154 of the family's 154-position model. The record is from RNAcentral.